This 312-nucleotide long non-coding RNA is filed under the name Mustela putorius furo (domestic ferret). Its description in RNAcentral is "lncRNA (ENSMPUG00000031547.1)". Lineage: Eukaryota; Metazoa; Chordata; Mammalia; Carnivora; Mustelidae. The record is from RNAcentral.
ACCUUCCACCUCCCGAACCAUCCCAGGCUUCUCCACCGUUGGGCGGAUGCUCUCGUCCUGAGGGAGAGGAACAGCUUUCCCUCCUUUCCCAUCCUUUGCAGAUCUACCUGGGAAAGAUGGGGAACGCAUCGCGGAAAUAGUGUCUCCAAGGAAGGAAAGGAAUUCACGAGGCUGACUUGGAAGAAAAGGCCCAGUCCUCAACAGAGACAACCGGACGGAUGCUAACCAGGACAUGAAGGGAUGGGCUGUAGGGCUCUGUCCUCCUGUCCACGUGCUCUCACUGGUGUCUCAAAUAAAGAUAGAAAAGCCCUG